GCGGCGGACGGGUGAGUAACACGUGGGCAACCUGCCCUGCAGACUGGGAUAACUUCGGGAAACCGGAGCUAAUACCGGAUAACACCGAAAACCGCAUGGUUUUCGGUUGAAAGGCGGCUUUUAGCUGUCACUGCAGGAUGGGCCCGCGGCGCAUUAGCUAGUUGGUGAGGGUAACGGCUCACCAAGGCGACCGAUGCGUAGCCGACCUGAGAGGGUGACCGGCCACACUGGGACUGAGACACGGCCCAGACUCCUACGGGAGGCAGCAGUAGGGAAUCUUCCGCAAUGGACGAAAGUCUGACGGAGCAACGCCGCGUGAGCGAAGAAGGUCUUCGGAUCGUAAAGCUCUGUUGUCAGGGAAGAACAAGUGCCGUUCGAACAGGGCGGUACCUUGACGGUACCUGACGAGGAAGCCACGGCUAACUACGUGCCAGCAGCCGCGGUAAUAC
Molecule: ribosomal RNA, 449 nt
Filed under: Aeribacillus sp. E08D028
Lineage: Bacteria; Bacillati; Bacillota; Bacilli; Caryophanales; Bacillaceae
Description: bacterial SSU rRNA
Rfam family: Bacterial small subunit ribosomal RNA
Source: RNAcentral